This 238-nucleotide ribosomal RNA is filed under the name uncultured bacterium. RNAcentral's name for it is "partial 16S ribosomal RNA". It matches the Rfam family "Bacterial small subunit ribosomal RNA", at positions 15 to 245 of the family's 1533-position model. The record is from RNAcentral.
GAUCAUGGCUCAGGAUGAACGCUAGCUACAGGCUUAACACACGCAAGUCGAGGGGCAGCAUGAUUGAAGCUUGCUUCAAUCGAUGGCGACCGGCGCACGGGUGAGUAACACGUAUCCAACCUGCCGAUAACUCGGGGAUAGCCUUUCGAAAGAAAGAUUAAUACCCGAUAGUAUAGUAUUUCCGCAUGGUUUCACUAUUAAAGAAUUUCGGUUAUCGAUGGGGAUGCGUUCCAUUAGA